RNAcentral lists this ribosomal RNA (465 nucleotides) under Vreelandella stevensii. RNAcentral describes it as "partial 16S ribosomal RNA". It matches the Rfam family "Bacterial small subunit ribosomal RNA", at positions 338 to 795 of the family's 1533-position model. The record is from RNAcentral. Lineage: Bacteria; Pseudomonadati; Pseudomonadota; Gammaproteobacteria; Oceanospirillales; Halomonadaceae.
CCUACGGGUGGCUGCAGUGGGGAAUAUUGGACAAUGGGCGAAAGCCUGAUCCAGCCAUGCCGCGUGUGUGAAGAAGGCCUUCGGGUUGUAAAGCACUUUCAGUGGGGAAGAAAGCCUUGGGGCUAAUACCCUCGAGGAAGGACAUCACCCACAGAAGAAGCACCGGCUAACUCCGUGCCAGCAGCCGCGGUAAUACGGAGGGUGCGAGCGUUAAUCGGAAUUACUGGGCGUAAAGCGCGCGUAGGCGGCCUGAUAAGCCGGUUGUGAAAGCCCCGGGCUCAACCUGGGAACGGCAUCCGGAACUGUCAGGCUAGAGUGCAGGAGAGGAAGGUAGAAUUCCCGGUGUAGCGGUGAAAUGCGUAGAGAUCGGGAGGAAUACCAGUGGCGAAGGCGGCCUUCUGGACUGACACUGACGCUGAGGUGCGAAAGCGUGGGUAGCAAACAGGAUUAGAUACCCCAGUAGUC